AAAGAAACUAACAAGGAUUCCCUAGUAACGGCGAGUGAAGCGGGAAAAGCUCAAAUUUGUAAUCUGGCGCCUUGGGCGUCCGAGUUGUAAUCUCGAGAAGUAUUUUCCGCGCUGGACCGCACAUAAGUCUGUUGGAAUACAGCGUCAUAGUGGUGAGAACCCCGUAUAGGGUGCGGAUGCCCAGUGCUUUGUGAUAUACUUUCGAAGAGUCGAGUUGUUUGGGAAUGCAGCUCAAAUUGGGUGGUAAAUUCCAUCUAAAGCUAAAUAUUGGCGAGAGAMCGAUAGCGAACAAGUACCGUGAGGGAAAGAUGAAAAGCACUUUGGAAAGAGAGUUAACAGUACGUGAAAUUGUUGGAAGGGAAACGCUUGAAGUCAGACUUGCAUUUUGGAGUUCAGCCGCAAGGUGUAUUCUUCAAUUCGCAGGCCAGCAUCAGUUUUUGGGGGUGGAAAAGCGCGGUUGGAAGGUAGCAGUCUUGGCUGUGUUAUAGCUUUCCGCUGGAUUCACUUUUGGGGACUGAGGAACGCAGUACGCUUUUUGCAAGAUUCUAGAGUCUUUCGUACUUAGGAUGCUGGUGGAAUGGCUUUAAACGACCCGUCUUGAAACACGGACCAAGGAGUCUAACAUGCUUGCGAGUGUUUGGGUGUUAAACCCGGACGCGUAAUGAAAGUGAAUGGAGGUGGGAUCCGCAAGGUGCACCAUCGACCGAUCUGGAUUUUCUAAGAUGGAUUUGAGUAAGAGCAAUUAUGUUGGGACCCGAAAGAUGGUGAACUAUGCCUGAAUAGGGUGAAGCCAGAGGAAACUCUGGUGGAGGCUCGUAGCGGUUCUGACGUGCAAAUCGAUCGUCAAAUUUGGGUAUAGGGGCGAAAGACUAAUCGAACCAUCUAAUGUUGCUUGGUGGUUAAUAGGGACUUCAAAGUAGAGCCCUAGUGGGAGUGGUAACUUGCGACACUUUCAAAUUGCGGGGACGCCCUUAGAGCUCUGAUUACGGCGGCUCAUCGAAAGAUAAAGUGCAGCAGCAGGUUAAUGGCCUCGCGGAUCGUAAAAACAUCAGAGAUUGGGUAAUCCGCAGCCAAGUCCUAAAGGGUACCUUUCAGCUACCCCAUGGAUGCAGUUCAUCGACUAAAUGGAAGUGGGUGCCCUUUCUUUACCGGAAGGGUGCUUGAGAUAUAGUCAGCCCCUCGUGAGAGCGAGCUAAUGGGACUAAGAGUCGAUUCGUUUUUACCACUUAUAAACGACGAUUCCCGAGCCUAUUGGGGUCUACUAAGAGGAAUAGUAAAACUCUAAGACUGGAUUACGUGCUAGUAGCUGGUUCCUGCCGAAGUUUCCCUCAGGAUAGCAGAAACUCACAUCAGUUCUAUGAGGUAAAGCGAAUGAUUAGAGGCCUUGGGGUUGAAACAACCUUAACCUAUUCUCAAACUUUAAAUAUGUAGGAAGUCCUUGCUACUAAUGAGCA
This 1454-nucleotide ribosomal RNA is filed under the name Microbotryum stellariae. RNAcentral describes it as "LSU rRNA". It matches the Rfam family "Eukaryotic large subunit ribosomal RNA", at positions 58 to 1101 of the family's 3401-position model. The record is from RNAcentral. Lineage: Eukaryota; Fungi; Basidiomycota; Microbotryomycetes; Microbotryales; Microbotryaceae.